RNAcentral lists this ribosomal RNA (253 nucleotides) under uncultured bacterium. RNAcentral describes it as "partial 16S ribosomal RNA". It matches the Rfam family "Bacterial small subunit ribosomal RNA", at positions 524 to 776 of the family's 1533-position model. The record is from RNAcentral.
UACAGAGGGUGCGAGCGUUAAUCGGAAUUACUGGGCGUAAAGCGCGUGUAGGCGGCUUGGCAAGUCGGGUGUGAAAGCCCCGGGCUCAACCUGGGAAGUGCACUCGAAACUGCUUGGCUUGAGUACUGGAGAGGGAAGCGGAAUUCUCGGUGUAGAGGUGAAAUUCGUAGAUAUCGAGAGGAACACCGGUGGCGAAGGCGGCUUCCUGGACAGUUACUGACGCUGAGACGCGAAAGCGUGGGGAGCAAACAGG